AAUGAACGUUGGCGGCGUGGAUUAGGCAUGCAAGUCGAGCGAGAAUUUGCGAUUGGAAGCUUCGGCCGAAGAAAGUGAAGGAAAGCGGCAAACGGCGUAGUAAGGCGUAGGUACGUACCCUCGGGUCGGGAAUAGCCGUGGGAAACUGUGGGUAAUGCCCGAUAAUCUCUGCGGAGCAAAGGUGUGAUUCCGCCGGAGGAGCGGCUUACGUGAUAUUAGCUAGUUGGUGGGGUAAUGGCCUACCAAGGCAACGAUGUCUAGGGGGUGUGAGAGCAUGGCCCCCACGACCGGAACUGAGACACUGUCCGGACACCUACGGGUGGCUGCAGUCGAGAAUCUUCCGCAAUGGGCGAAAGCCUGACGGAGCGACGCCGCGUGGUGGAUGAAGGCCCUUGGGUUGUAAACACCUGUCAGAGGGGAUGAAAUCAUGGUUGGCAAUCCUUCCAUGUUGACAGAGCCUCAGAGGAAGCACGGGCUAAGUACGUGCCAGCAGCCGCGGUAAAG
Molecule: ribosomal RNA, 504 nt
Filed under: uncultured bacterium
Lineage: Bacteria
Description: bacterial SSU rRNA
Rfam family: Bacterial small subunit ribosomal RNA
Source: RNAcentral